Molecule: ribosomal RNA, 444 nt
Filed under: uncultured bacterium
Lineage: Bacteria
Description: SSU rRNA
Rfam family: Bacterial small subunit ribosomal RNA
Source: RNAcentral
AGAGCGAACGCUGGCGGCAGGCUUAACACAUGCAAGUCGAGCGGGCGUAGCAAUACGUCAGCGGCAGACGGGUGAGUAACGCGUGGGAACAUACCUUUUGGUUCGGAACAACACAGGGAAACUUGUGCUAAUACCGGAUAAGCCCUUACGGGGAAAGAUUUAUCGCCGAAAGAUUGGCCCGCGUCUGAUUAACUAGUUGGUGAGGUAACGGCUCACCAAGGCGACGAUCAGUAGCUGGUCUGAGAGGAUGAUCAGCCACAUUGGGACUGAGACACGGCCCAAACUCCUACGGGAGGCAGCAGUGGGGAAUAUUGGACAAUGGGCGCAAGCCUGAUCCAGCCAUGCCGCGUGAGUGAUGAAGGCCUAGGGUUGUAAAGCUCUUUGUGCGGGAAGAUAAUGACGGUACGCAAGAAUAAGCCCGGCUAACUUCGCGCCAGCAGCCGC